RNAcentral lists this ribosomal RNA (216 nucleotides) under uncultured bacterium. RNAcentral describes it as "partial 16S ribosomal RNA". It matches the Rfam family "Bacterial small subunit ribosomal RNA", at positions 1285 to 1500 of the family's 1533-position model. The record is from RNAcentral.
GUCCCAGUUCGGAUUGCAGUCUGCAACUCGAGUGCAUGAAGCUGGAAUCGCUAGUAAUCGCGGAUCAGAAUGCCGCGGUGAAUACGCUCCCGGGUCUUGUACACACCGCCCGUCACACCAUGGGAGUCGGGAAUGCCCGAAGCCGGUGGCCCAAUCGAAAGAAGGGAGCCGUCGAAGGCAGGCCGGAUGACUGGGGUGAAGUCGUAACAAGGUAAC